Molecule: ribosomal RNA, 463 nt
Filed under: uncultured Paludibacter sp.
Lineage: Bacteria; Pseudomonadati; Bacteroidota; Bacteroidia; Bacteroidales; Paludibacteraceae
Description: bacterial SSU rRNA
Rfam family: Bacterial small subunit ribosomal RNA
Source: RNAcentral
UUCCUACGGGGGGCAGCAGUGAGGAAUAUUGGUCAAUGGGCGAGAGCCUGAACCAGCCAAGUCGCGUGAAGGAAGAAGGUUCUAUGGAUUGUAAACUUCUUUUGUAAGGGAAUAAAAAGAGUUACGUGUAGCUUAUUGUAUGUACUUUACGAAUAAGGAUCGGCUAACUCCGUGCCAGCAGCCGCGGUAAUACGGAGGAUCCAAGCGUUAUCCGGAUUUAUUGGGUUUAAAGGGUGCGUAGGCGGACCCUUAAGUCAGUGGUGAAAGUUUGCGGCUCAACCGUAAAAUUGCCAUUGAAACUGAGGGUCUUGAGUGUAAAUGAGGUAGGCGGAAUGUGUUGUGUAGCGGUGAAAUGCUUAGAUAUAACACAGAACACCAAUUGCGAAGGCAGCUUACUGGGAUACAACUGACGCUGAGGCACGAAAGCGUGGGGAUCAAACAGGAUUAGAUACCCGAGUAGUCC